This is a small nuclear RNA of Mobula hypostoma (lesser devil ray), 109 nucleotides long. Lineage: Eukaryota; Metazoa; Chordata; Chondrichthyes; Myliobatiformes; Myliobatidae. The record is from RefSeq and is a predicted model, not a curated record.
CUGCACUCACUUUGGCAGCAGAUAUACUAAAACUGGAACAAUACAGAAAGGAUUAGAAAGGCCUCUGUGAAAGGAUGACAUGCAAAUUCAUGAAGCCAUCCAUAUUUUG